This 31-nucleotide non-coding RNA is filed under the name Rattus norvegicus (Norway rat). Lineage: Eukaryota; Metazoa; Chordata; Mammalia; Rodentia; Muridae. The record is from RNAcentral.
UGGGUGACCGCGUUUUCCAAGAGGCACUUGG